UAUCGGAUUGAUACUAAGCCAUGCGAGUCAUUGUAGCAAUACAAGGCAUACGGCUCAGUAACGCAUAGUCAACCUAACCUAUGGACGGGAAUAACCUCGGGAAACUGAGAAUAAUGCCCGAUAGAACAUUAUGCCUGGAAUGGUUUAUGUUCCAAAUGAUUUAUCGCCGUAGGAUGGGACUGCGGCCUAUCAGUUUGUUGGUGAGGUAAUGGCCCACCAAGACUAUUACAGGUACGGGCUCUGAGAGGAGUAGCCCGGAGAUGGGUACUGAGACACGGACCCAGGCCCUAUGGGGCGCAGCAGGCGAGAAAACUUUGCAAUGUGCGAAAGCACGACAAGGUUAAUCCGAGUGGUUUCUGCUAAAGGAACCUUUUGUCAGUCCUAGAAACACUGAUGAAUAAGGGGUGGGCAAGUUCUGGUGUCAGCCGCCGCGGUAAAACCAGCACCUCAAGUGGUCAGGAUGAUUAUUGGGCCUAAAGCAUCCGUAGCCGGCUCUGUAAGUUUUCGGUUAAAUCUGUACGCUCAACGUACAGGCUGCCGGGAAUACUGCAAAGCUAGGGAGUGGGAGAGGUAGACGGUACUCGGUAGGAAGGGGUAAAAUCCUUUGAUCUAUUGAUGACCACCUGUGGCGAAGGCGGUCUACCAGAACACGUCCGACGGUGAGGGAUGAAAGCUGGGGGAGCAAACCGGAUUAGAUACCCGGGUAGUCCCAGCUGUAAACCAUGCAAACUCAGUGAUGCAUUGGCUUGUGGCCAAUGCAGUGCUGCAGGGAAGCCGUUAAGUUUGCCGCCUGGGAAGUACGUACGCAAGUAUGAAACUUAAAGGAAUUGGCGGGGGAGCACCACAAGGGGUGAAGCCUGCGGUUCAAUUGGAGUC
Molecule: ribosomal RNA, 876 nt
Filed under: uncultured archaeon
Lineage: Archaea
Description: bacterial SSU rRNA
Rfam family: Archaeal small subunit ribosomal RNA
Source: RNAcentral